CGCAAUGGGCGAAAGCCUGACGCAGCGACGCCGCGUGCGGGAAGAAGGCCUUCGGGUUGUAAACCGCUUUCAGGAGGGACGAAGCCACUCGGGUUAAUAGCCCAGAGGGUGACGGUACCUCCAGAAGAAGCCCCGGCUAACUACGUGCCAGCAGCCGCGGUAAUACGUAGGGGGCUAGCGUUGUCCGGAUUUAUUGGGCGUAAAGAGCGUGUAGGCGGUCAGGUAGGUCGGUUGUGAAAACUGGAGGCUCAACCUUCAGAGGUCGACCGAAACCCCCUGGCUAGAGUCCGGGAGAGGAGAGUGGAAUUCCUGGUGUAGCGGUGAAAUGCGCAGAUAUCAGGAAGAACACCCGUGGCGAAAGCGGCUCUCUGGAACGGUACUGACGCUGAGACGCGAAAGCGUGGGGAGCGAACAGGAUUAGAUACCCUGGUAGUCCACGCCGUAAACGAUGGGCGCUAGGUGUGGGAGGUGUCGACUCCUUCCGUGCCGAAGCUAACGCAUUAAGCGCCCCGCCUGGGGAGUACGGCCGCAAGGCUA
RNAcentral lists this ribosomal RNA (537 nucleotides) under uncultured Actinomycetes bacterium. RNAcentral's name for it is "bacterial SSU rRNA". It matches the Rfam family "Bacterial small subunit ribosomal RNA", at positions 367 to 896 of the family's 1533-position model. Lineage: Bacteria; Bacillati; Actinomycetota; Actinomycetes. The record is from RNAcentral.